Molecule: ribosomal RNA, 387 nt
Filed under: uncultured bacterium
Lineage: Bacteria
Description: bacterial SSU rRNA
Rfam family: Bacterial small subunit ribosomal RNA
Source: RNAcentral
AACGAACGCUGGCGGCGUGCUUAACACAUGCAAGUCGAGCGGUAAGGCCCUUUCGGGGGUACACGAGCGGCGAACGGGUGAGUAACACGUGGGUGACCUGCCCUCAGCUCUGGGAUAAGCCUGGGAAACUGGGUCUAAUACUGGAUAUGACUCCACGGUGCAUGUCGUGGGGUGGAAAGCCUUGUGCGGCUGAGGAUGGGCCCGCGGCCUAUCAGCUUGUUGGUGGGGUGAGGCCUACCAAGGCGACGACGGGUAGCCGGCCUGAGAGGGCGACCGGCCACACUGGGACUGAGACACGGCCCAGACUCCUACGGGAGGCAGCAGUGGGGAAUCUUGCGCAAUGGGCGAAAGCCUGACGCAGCGACGCCGCGUGAGGGAUGACGGCCU